Molecule: transfer RNA, 82 nt
Filed under: Anaerolineales bacterium
Lineage: Bacteria; Bacillati; Chloroflexota; Anaerolineae; Anaerolineales
Also listed under: 1 other name
Description: tRNA-Leu
Rfam family: tRNA
About the family: Transfer RNA (tRNA) molecules are approximately 80 nucleotides in length.
Source: RNAcentral
GCCCAAGUGGCGGAAUGGUAUACGCAGCAGGUUGAGGGCCUGUGCUCUUAUGGGCGUGGAGGUUCGAAUCCUCUCUUGGGCA